Non-coding RNA from Lupinus albus (white lupine), 929 nucleotides. NCBI's taxonomy places the organism in Eukaryota, Viridiplantae, Streptophyta, Magnoliopsida, Fabales, Fabaceae. The record is from the annotation of a GenBank genome assembly.
AAUCCCGUUUUCCUCUUCUUCUCUUCAUCUCCUUUUCUCUCACCUAAGCGGCGGUAGUGGCGGAAGAAGGCAGCAACGGCGGCGAUUCAGCGGAGCCUCCUUCACCUCGGUUCGAGGUAAUCCUCUUCUCUCUUCAUUCUCAAUCCAGAGACAGCAGCGAAGGGGAAUCGAGACGCAGGGAUUCAUACGUCUCACCAUGGGUUCACGGUGGUUCUUGACCAAGAGCAAGGUGGCUCAGGAUUCGUUGACAUUAAAGUUUUCACACCUUGCAUUAAGGUGUGCCACAAGAUCUUUAUGAUGGUGUCUAUGAGAUCUCAGAUCGGAACCGAAGGGAACAAAGGGAUUUGAAUUGUGUUCACUGCUGCCCCUUGGUUGGUUUAGAGAGAUUAAUCAGCUUCAAAUCUUCCUUUACGGGUGUAUGAUCAAUUCCAAUGUUAGGGAAGGGAAGUUGAAUGAUGCUCUUUUUGGCCUAGUUGAUUUGAGGUCGUUGCCGGAAUUUAUAGGUCGUGCACUUCAUUCGACUAUUUAAAUACAUUCUGUGUCUUACGGCUAAAGAGCACAUUUUCUUUUGUAAGUUCAUGUGGGUUCUACUUUGGACAAGGCAUGUGAGGCUAUUGGUGAAGACUUGGUUGGUGCCAUGCCAAUCCCAUGCAGCAUCUCUGUCGAAGGGUGCUUGAUUAAGGAUGGAGAGUUUUUAUUUUUGUCCAUGUUGCUUUAUCCGUAGCACUAAGUUUAUAUUUGCUUUUAUGUGAGAAUGAGCAUGUAAGAAAUUAAUACAAACUUUAGACAAUCUUGUUUGAAGUAAAAGUAGCAUGUGACUCGUUAGCAAAGGAAAGUGAUAUCAUUCUCUUCUCUUUCUAGGAUUUGUAUUAUGUCAUCCCAUGGAAUUCACAUGGACUAAAGUAAGUACAAAUUGGAUUUGAGAUAAU